RNAcentral lists this ribosomal RNA (466 nucleotides) under uncultured bacterium. RNAcentral describes it as "partial 16S ribosomal RNA". It matches the Rfam family "Bacterial small subunit ribosomal RNA", at positions 29 to 507 of the family's 1533-position model. The record is from RNAcentral.
ACGAACGCUGGCGGCGUGCUUAACACAUGCAAGUCGAACGGAAAGGCCCUGCUUUUGGGGGUGCUCGAGUGGCGAACGGGUGAGUAACACGUGAGUAACCUGCCCUUGACUUUGGGAUAACUUCAGGAAACUGGGGCUAAUACCGGAUAGGAGCUCCUGCUGCAUGGUGGGGGUUGGAAAGUUUCGGCGGUUGGGGAUGGACUCGCGGCUUAUCAGCUUGUUGGUGGGGUAGUGGCUUACCAAGGCUUUGACGGGUAGCCGGCCUGAGAGGGUGACCGGCCACAUUGGGACUGAGAUACGGCCCAGACUCCUACGGGAGGCAGCAGUGGGGAAUAUUGCACAAUGGGCGGAAGCCUGAUGCAGCAACGCCGCGUGCGGGAUGACGGCCUUCGGGUUGUAAACCGCUUUCGCCUGUGACGAAGCGUGAGUGACGGUAAUGGGUAAAGAAGCACCGGCUAACUACGUG